UACGUAGGGUGCAAGCGUUAAUCGGAAUUACUGGGCGUAAAGCGUGCGCAGGCGGUGAUGUAAGACAGGGGUGAAAUCCCCGGGCUUAACCUGGGAACUGCAUUUGUGACUGGCAAGCUAGAGUAUGGCAGAGGGGGGUAGAAUUCCACGGGUAGCAGUGAAAUGCGUAGAGAUGUGGAGGAAUACCGAUGGCGAAGGCAGCCCCCUGGGCCAAUACUGACGCUCAUGCACGAAAGCGUGGGGAGCAAACAGG
RNAcentral lists this ribosomal RNA (253 nucleotides) under uncultured bacterium. RNAcentral describes it as "partial 16S ribosomal RNA". It matches the Rfam family "Bacterial small subunit ribosomal RNA", at positions 524 to 776 of the family's 1533-position model. The record is from RNAcentral.